AGCGGCGGACGGGUGAGUAAUGCCUAGGAAUCUGCCUGGUAGUGGGGGACAACGUUUCGAAAGGAACGCUAAUACCGCAUACGUCCUACGGGAGAAAGCAGGGGACCUUCGGGCCUUGCGCUAUCAGAUGAGCCUAGGUCGGAUUAGCUUGUUGGUGAGGUAAUGGCUCACCAAGGCGACGAUCCGUAACUGGUCUGAGAGGAUGAUCAGUCACACUGGAACUGAGACACGGUCCAGACUCCUACGGGAGGCAGCAGUGGGGAAUAUUGGACAAUGGGCGAAAGCCUGAUCCAGCCAUGCCGCGUGUGUGAAGAAGGUCUUCGGAUUGUAAAGCACUUUAAGUUGGGAGGAAGGGCAGCUAGCGAAUACCUGGUUGUUUUGACGUUACCGACAGAAUAAGCACCGGCUAACUCUGUGCCAGCAGCCGCGGUAAUACAGAGGGUGCAAGCGUUAAUCGGAAUUACUGGGCGUAAAGCGCGCGUAGGUGGUUUGUUAAGUUGGAUGUGAAAGCCCCGGGCUCAACCUGGGAACUGCAUCCAAAACUGGCAAGCUAGAGUAUGGUA
This 563-nucleotide ribosomal RNA is filed under the name Pseudomonas sp. RNAcentral's name for it is "bacterial SSU rRNA". It matches the Rfam family "Bacterial small subunit ribosomal RNA", at positions 94 to 653 of the family's 1533-position model. Lineage: Bacteria; Pseudomonadati; Pseudomonadota; Gammaproteobacteria; Pseudomonadales; Pseudomonadaceae. The record is from RNAcentral.